ACUCAAAUGAAUUGACGGGGGCCCGCACAAGCGGUGGAGCAUGUGGUUUAAUUCGACGCAACGCGAAGAACCUUACCUGGGCUUGAACUACUCGUGGUAGGUCGCUGGAAACAGUGACUGACCCGCAAGGGAGCGAGCAGAGGUGCUGCAUGGUUGUCGUCAGCUCGUGUCGUGAGAUGUUGGGUUAAGUCCCGCAACGAGCGCAACCCCUAUCCAAUGUUGCUAAUCCCGCAAGGGAUGCACUCUUUGGAAACUGCCUUCGAUAAGAAGGAGGAAGGUGGGGACGACGUCAAAUCCUCAUGGCCCUUAUGUCCAGGGCUACACACGUGCUACAAUGGUCGGUACAGCGGGAAGCAAUACCGCAAGGUGGAGCAAAUCCCUAAAAGCCGGCCCCAGUUCAGAUUGUGGGCUGAAACCCGCCCACAUGAAGGCGGAAUCGCUAGUAAUCGCGAAUCAGCAGGUCGCGGUGAAUACGUUCCCGGGCCUUGUACACACCGCCCGU
RNAcentral lists this ribosomal RNA (502 nucleotides) under uncultured bacterium. RNAcentral describes it as "partial 16S ribosomal RNA". It matches the Rfam family "Bacterial small subunit ribosomal RNA", at positions 899 to 1397 of the family's 1533-position model. The record is from RNAcentral.